AGAGUUUGAUCCUGGCUCAGGAUGAACGCUGCGGUAUGCUUAACACAUGCAAGUCGAACGAAAGUCUUCGGACUUUAGUGGCGGACGGGUGAGUAACGCGUGAGAAUCUGCCUUCAGGUUGGGGACAACAGUUGGAAACGGCUGCUAAUACCCAAUGUGCCGAGAGGUGAAAGCUUUAGUGCCUGAAGAUGAGCUCGCGUCAGAUUAGCUAGUUGGUGUGGUAAUGGCGCACCAAGGCGACGAUCUGUAGCUGGUCUGAGAGGAUGAUCAGCCACACUGGGACUGAGACACGGCCCAGACUCCUACGGGAGGCAGCAGCGGAAUUUUCCGCAAUGGGCGAAAGCCUGACGGAGCAAUACCGCGUGAGGGAGGAAGGCUCUUGGGUUGUAAACCUCUUUUGUCAGGGAAGAAGAUCUGACGGUACCUGACGAAUCAGCAUCGGCUAACUCCGUGCCAGCAGCCGCGGUAAUACGGAGGAUGCAAGCGUUAUCCGGAUUUAUUGGGCGUAAAGCGUCCGCAGGUGGUUGUACAAGUCUGUUGUUAAAGCGUGGAGCUUAACUCCAUAACGGCGAUGGAAACUGUGCGACUAGAGUACGGCAGGGGUAGCGGGAAUUCCCAGUGUAGCGGUGAAAUGCGUAGAUAUUGGGAAGAACACCGCCGGCGAAAGCGCGCUACUGGGCCUGUACUGACACUCAUGGACGAAAGCCAGGGGAGCGAAAGGGAUUAGAUACCCCUGUAGUCCUGGCUGUAAACGAUGGAUACUAGGUGUUGGACGUAUCGACCCGUUCAGUGCCGUAGCUAACGCGUUAAGUAUCCCGCCUGGGGAGUACGCACGCAAGUGUGAAACUCAAAGGAAUUGACGGGGGCCCGCACAAGCUGGAGUAUGUGGUUUAAUUCGAUGCAACGCGAAGAACCUUACCAGGGCUUGACAUGUCGCGAAUCCCGGUGAAAGUCGGGAGUGCCUUUGGGAGCGCGAACACAGGUGGUGCAUGGCUGUCGUCAGCUCGUGUCGUGAGAUGUUGGGUUAAGUCCCGCAACGAGCGCAACCCUCGUUUCUAGUUGCCAUCAUUUAGUUGGGCACUCUGGAGAGACUGCCGGUGACAAACCGGAGGAAGGUGGGGAUGACGUCAAGUCAGCAUGCCCCUUACGUCCUGGGCUACACACGUACUACAAUGCUAUGGACAAAGAGCUGCAAGCCAGCGAUGGCAAGCCAAUCUCAUAAACCAUGGCUCAGUUCAGAUUGCAGGCUGCAACUCGCCUGCAUGAAGGAGGAAUCGCUAGUAAUCGCAGGUCAGCAUACUGCGGUGAAUACGUUCCCGGGCCUUGUACACACCGCCCGUCACACCAUGGGAGUUGGCCACGCCCGAAGUCGUUACUCCAACCGUUCGCGGAGGGGGAUGCCGAAGGCAGGGCUGAUGACUGGGGU
Molecule: ribosomal RNA, 1426 nt
Filed under: metagenome
Description: bacterial SSU rRNA
Rfam family: Bacterial small subunit ribosomal RNA
Source: RNAcentral